Small nucleolar RNA from Zalophus californianus (California sea lion), 130 nucleotides. Ensembl annotates it as small nucleolar RNA SNORA31. NCBI's taxonomy places the organism in Eukaryota, Metazoa, Chordata, Mammalia, Carnivora, Otariidae. The record is from Ensembl.
AUGCAUCUAUCUGACAGACAUGGAGCAAUUAUUGUAUUCUAGUAAGGUUUUCACUACAGAUACAAGAGGAAAGUAUCCUGGAGCUUUCUGUCUAAGUGUGGCAGCCAAGAUUGAAUGGGGGAAUACAGUA